CCAGUGAACAUCUUCCAUUGAAGCUUCUAUGAUUAUUUCACAAUAUUCAGCAAUCCACCCAAUGCUAACUGGGGAUGUUUGAUUUUGCAGCCUCUUUCAGAGCAGUUGCUAAAAGUCGCUCCACAUCAUCAGAGGGCUUCCCUCCCUCAGUCCAUGAGAGCAACUAAGUUUUGCAUCAGUGAAAGGAAGAAAAAGCAGGAGUCUGGGAGAUAGGCUUCCUGAGGGAAAGGACCACGUUUCUCCUAUUUACCAUGCUGUCUCCCGCUCCAGCACAUCUUUCAGCGAUGCUGACCUGCGGAAACCAGAGCAGUACAUGGUGUGUACUACGCUAUCCUAAGCUAUUAUAAGCAUUGCUUCUUUUUCUUCUCCCACCCAGAAACUUGAAAGUUUUCUUUUCCUUACUCUGUUCCUCUGUGAGUU
RNAcentral lists this long non-coding RNA (420 nucleotides) under Piliocolobus tephrosceles (Ugandan red Colobus). RNAcentral's name for it is "lncRNA (ENSPTEG00000034494.1)". Lineage: Eukaryota; Metazoa; Chordata; Mammalia; Primates; Cercopithecidae. The record is from RNAcentral.